Molecule: ribosomal RNA, 556 nt
Filed under: Salmonella enterica subsp. enterica serovar Enteritidis
Lineage: Bacteria; Pseudomonadati; Pseudomonadota; Gammaproteobacteria; Enterobacterales; Enterobacteriaceae
Description: partial 23S ribosomal RNA
Rfam family: Bacterial large subunit ribosomal RNA
Source: RNAcentral
GAAUGCUGACAUAAGUAACGAUAAAGCGGGUGAAAAGCCCGCUCGCCGGAAGACCAAGGGUUCCUGUCCAACGUUAAUCGGGGCAGGGUGAGUCGACCCCUAAGGCGAGGCCGAAAGGCGUAGUCGAUGGGAAACGGGUUAAUAUUCCCGUACUUGGUGUUACUGCGAAGGGGGGACGGAGAAGGCUAUGUUGGCCGGGCGACGGUUGUCCCGGUUUAAGCGUGUAGGUGUGUGUUCCAGGUAAAUCCGGUUCACUUUAACACUGAGGCGUGACGACGAGGCACUACGGUGCUGAAGCAACAAAUGCCCUGCUUCCAGGAAAAGCCUCUAAGCAUCAGGUAACAUCAAAUCGUACCCCAAACCGACACAGGUGGUCAGGUAGAGAAUACCAAGGCGCUUGAGAGAACUCGGGUGAAGGAACUAGGCAAAAUGGUGCCGUAACUUCGGGAGAAGGCACGCUGACACGUAGGUGAAGUGAUUUACUCAUGGAGCUGAAGUCAGUCGAAGAUACCAGCUGGCUGCAACUGUUUAUUAAAAACACAGCACUGUGCAAACA